UCUCCCUCGACGUCUGGGACCCCUUCAGGGACUUUCCCUUCCCUUCCUCCUCCCUCACCGCCGCUAACUUCCCCCAGACGUUCCGGGAGAACGCCGCCUUCGUGAACACGAGGAUCGACUGGAAGGAGACCCCGGAGGCCCACGUGUUCCGGGCGGAUCUCCCCGGGCUCAAGAAGGAGGAGGUCAAGGUGGAGAUCGAGGAGGAUCGGGUGCUCCAGAUCAGCGGCGAGCGGAACAUGGAGAAGGAGGACAAGAACGACACCUGGCACCGGAUGGAGAGGAGCAGCGGCAAGUUCAUGAGGAGGUUCAGGCUGCCGGAGAACGCGAGGAUGGAUCAGGUGAAGGCCUCGAUGGAGAACGGGGUGCUGACUGUCACUGUUCCCAAGGUGGAGGAGAAGAAGCCCGAGGUCAAGGCCAUCGAGAUCUCCGGUUGAGAGGUGGUGAAUCUACGGUCGGCGCUGCGACCUGUGUAUACAUAUGCAUAUAGAGUGCCUGUGUGUGCCGUCUGCUGUGUGGCUUUUGCGUGUCCUGAGUUGGGAGUCGCGGUCUAUGGCGAUGUCUGAUAUGGCAAUGUUAAAUAACUACAGUGACUCUCUACUUGUAAUGAGAUCUGAGAUAUUAUGUAAUAUAUAGUAACUUCUACUUUUUGUGAUAUCGGUUCCUCAAAUUCUUUCGGUUUUUUCACCUUUCCAUUUUCCUAUUGCACUGAAUUUGCCUACUACUGCUUUGUUCCAAGGGAGUUCAAUUGGUUCGUUCUUUUUGCAACGAUUAAUUCAAUUUGUUGGAAGGAUUCCUCGGAUGUGCAAGUGCUGUACUCGUUGCGAUCAUUUUUAGAAUUGGGUUUGCGGUACCCACAAAACAUUGUACUCAUGAGCUCGGCGCGAGCUGCAGGGUGUCAGAUAACAGGAGCAGUUAUCCCAACAAGCUUUUCAAUUUCUGCAUGAUCAUCAUCGGAUCAGAGAUCGAGUUCUCUAGUUCUUCUAUUGUAGUGUGUGAACAAGCACCUUUCUUGAUGCUCAAGCUCGACUUACUGUCUUGUCUUUGAAAGCUGUGUCUCUUAGCCUCAUCUCUUUCCCUUCCUCCCCCAUCAACCAUCAGUCUUCCUUGCUGCUUUUGACAUAUUAUAUAUUAAAAAUAUUUUUAUAUAUAAAUACAUAAAUGAAUAAAUAAUAAUAAUAAAAAGAACAUAAAAUUAUUUUAUUUUAAAAAUAUUAAUUCAAUAUUAUUUAUUAUUUUAAUUUGAUAAAUUCAAUUAUAUUCUAUUGCAAUAAUUCAUAAAAUUUGGAAGGAAAAAAAAGUAAGAGAAAAUCUCAAAUAAGAAUACAAAGUUUUGUUCAAAAAAAAAAAAAAAAAAUAAGAAUACAAAGUGAGUUUAUUUUUUCAAAUAAAAUUUUAAAGUGACAUUUGUUCCAAAUAAAGAUCCAAAGUGGCUAACAAGUCUCAAAUAAGGAUCUGAAUUUGUCAUUCGGUGAAAAUGUUUACCGGCUAGCGAGUGUGUGACAUUUUCGGUGGCCGAAAUAUGAGCAAUUUUGUCUAAAAAAAAUAUAGAUAGAAAUUAACAAAUCAUAAAAACAAAACUCCACAAACUCUUCACGUUCUUUCGACCUAAAAAAAACUCCACAUUCUCAUGUUUUUCUUCUUUUGCUCUUCAUCUUCUCUGUUCUUUGUCCUCUCUCGUUUGGAGCACCGAAAUUUUCUGUUAAUGGAACACGAAUUGAAACACAACAAAAAAACCCCUACCUUCGUUUCUUUACAUAUUCUUCUUUUGUUUUUAGUCUUCGUUUCAACGAAAAAGACAAAUCUCGAGUAAGCCAAGGAUCUUGCUCCAUUAACAGAGAAUUUGGCUUCUCCAAACGAGAGGGGACAAAGAACAUAACGUAAAAGAUGAGGAGUAGAAGAAGAAGAACGUAAAGAGUAUGGGGGUUUUGUUUUUAAGUUUUGUUAAUUUCUAUCUAUAUUUUUUUUGGACAAAAUUGCCCGGAAAUGUCAUAUGCUCAUCGGCCGGUGAACAUUUUGGCCGGCCGGUAGGUUUAGGUUUUUAUUUGAGACUUAUUAGCCACUUCAGGUCAUUAUUUGGAAUAACAAUUAUUUCGGGUCAUUAAUUGAGAUUUCCCAAAAAGUAAUUCAAGUUUUAGUAUUAAAUUUAGGGAUAUAUGCGGUAUAAGUUUUAAAAUUUAUCGUGAAAGUAUAAUUGAAUUUUAAAAUUGAUCAAAUUGGUACAAUCAAGUCUUUUUGUUGAUAUCGUCAAUUUGUUUAACAAAAAAUCUUGAAGAAGAAUUUUUAAAUUAAUUUAUUUAUCUUAUGUGGUAUUUUUUAUUAUUUUUUCUUUAAAUCUUAUUUAAAGAAUAGUAAUUAUUUUUAUUAAAAAAGCUAAAAUAAUUCUUAACCUGAAAAAAAAAAGGUAGGUUAGCUGCUUGGUUGGAUAGGCGACUGCCACCGUGGAGGGGGUCGGCGAGAUCGGUGGCCCUAGGUGAUGGUGGGUGGCAACUUGUGGUGGAGUUGGGGGGCCUUGCAAGGCCUCGCCGGCCUCGAGCGAGGGCAUGGCAUCGCCCAGAUUUGGGCGAGCCUCACUCGGGCCUCUAAGGCAUCGCUUAGAUCUAGGCGAGCCUUGCUGGCCCUUGCUUGAUUGGUGAUGGCUUCGCUUGGGCUGGCGAGAUGGCCCACCCGCCACUUAGGGCCAGUACUUCGAUAGUGGUAGCGGCGCCAAUCUACCCCUUUUUUUUAUAUAUUUAUUAUUUGAUCUCUCAAGUAUUGAAAAAUUUUAAAAUUGACCCCAUGCGUAUUAGAAUUCCGGAUUUGCAUAUUGGAGCUUGUCAGGGAGAGUUGACCACAGUUGGAUUUUUCCAAACUCAUUGAUCGCAUGUUGGAGCGUAGGACAUCACACAAAGGCUUUUGGAAAGUGUCGCUACUUCUUAGAUUCCACCUGAGUCCAAAAGCCUGGAAACUUCCUCCUGCAGAGCCCAUCUCACUACGCGACCAGUUUCUCUGAUUGUCUCUUUGAACCCUUCCGGUAACAGCUCGAAUCCACUCUGAGCCUCUGACCAUGCCAGUCCGACCAUCCACAAGAACGUUGCUGUUCGCCAGCCCCCAGCCGUUUCUGCAAACUCUACCUGAGCCAUUUUGAAGCCAAGAUUCCUAAGCUCACACGUGUAACUGAAUAUUUGCUUGCUUAUCAAGCCCCAAGAGGCAACCGGUUUCUUCCCCUAAUAUGCUGGUUGUGUUGGAGUCAACGCCUAAUAUGAAAAUAAGAUAAGUUCUAGUUGGACUUUGCCUCUGAUGUGCCGACUUAUUCCAGUGAGAAUGCUGGAUAUUCAAAAGCGGUGAGUGAAACCAAAAGUGAAGAACUCUUGGUCAAAAAGCAGAGGAACCGCCUCUGUCUCUCUGUCUGUCUAGAUUUGUCUCUUGUCCUCCAGAAGCCGCAAGUUGCUAGAGAAGAAAGUCAAAAGAAAAGUUGCAGCCCACAAUUGUUGACUCCUCAGCCAAGAAGAAAAUGAAAGUCCAUCAUGCAUGAAGUCUGGACGUGAGGCCGUGAAGUUUGAGCCUUCAAGUAAGGCUUGGCAGUGCCAACGUAAGGUAGGCCUCACAAGUCGAGAGAAGAAGAGAUUAAGAGAGAAAGAGAGUCUCGUCAGAGAGAAAGCAAGGUGUGAGCUUCACGCCAGAGAGGGCCUCAAGUCACCAGGUGCAAAGUACAUCAACGAAUCAUGAAUCACGCAAGAGAUUUUAUUGUUGCUCCUUCCUCUGCCAUCAUAUCUGAGAAUACUUGGUGGAGAGGUCCUUCACAGUUGGUGUUGAGUCUUGCUGCAAGAGCUAAGGGAACUCAGAGGAGAGGUCAUCCUUUGGUAAGCAGUGGGGAAAUAGAUAGGAAGAUAUAAUUGGGGAUACUGCACGGACCGGGAUGAUCGAAUUGAGUGUGACCUAUUCCAAUGGGGAAGCACUUGGAAUGCAGGACUGACCUCAAUUGAGCAUCGGGGUUAUGUGCCCUUGAAAGGAACAUCAGGACUUGCACCUAUCUACGAUUGCGUCUCCGUCCUCGUUCCUCCAUUGCUCUCAUCUGACCACAACCAGAGCCUGGGUCCUGGAUCAUUUGAGCAUACGAAAAGUAUUAUAUUCGGUACUGCGUCGAUUGCAUGUUAAGAAAAAUAAAGGAGACUUCUCUAGUUAUUUCGUGUUUCUUGCCUGGAUGGUAAAAUUGAAAGGGGCAUACAAAUCGAUUACAUCAUUGAAAGGUGACGGGAUUAUGGGAGAGCGACUUUCGUACUAUGAGACAUGUGGAGGAAACAAAACUACAUGAGAAUACCUGAAAUUUUGUUACCUUUCAUAUCUGGAUUUGCUCGUUCUUAUGUUAAAGCCAGCAGAGAUAAUUCCUCCUCUGGCAAGCUAGCUUCUUUCACCGAGGACUUCUGGUUAAUUUGACUUCCAUCCCAAAACUUGGUCUUAUCUCUUUGCAGAUUUUCACUAUUCCACUGGAGGCGACUCCUCCUAUCUGAUGGCAUUGAAAUCCACUGCUACCGACGUCACCAUAAGCUCGUUAUUGAUCCGAAAUGAAGUGAUUAUAACUCGGUUUUAACAUGAGAGUGCUUGAACCUUCUUAAAAAAAUUCAAAUCAAAGAAUUUUUUGGGAAUCCUACAACCAUAUUAGCCUAACAGAAAAAUCGUCUUGGAGCAGAGUCACGUACACAUAUGUAUUGUAGCCGACACGCACAACCUUAGGCGAGCUGAUAGAGCUUGUCUAUCCAAGAAAGCUAGAGAAAGCAUGACUUAGAAGCACAAGAGCUUCAAAGUCUGCAUUAUUUCAGAUAACUAGCUAUUUCUCGAGACAACUCAAGUGUAUCAAAGAAAUAUAAAGCUCCAUGAUUCAGUUGCUGUGAAAAUCGAAUUGAUCUGGAGGAUUCUCAUAUUCUUUUUUUUAUGAGAUGUGAAAUGAAAAACCUUGUCGUUAAGAUAAAGACCAAUUUUUAUGCUACUACUUCUUUCUUUUGUCAAAUGACAUGAGUGGUCUCUCGUGAUUGACUUAAGAAAGAAGGUUCAUCCUCAAAAUGUUGUCCCUGCAACAACAACAAAAACAACCGAGUCUCAUUCUGCUAAGUGAGGUCCAUCGUAUGAAUCCUAUUAUGCCAUUGCAUUUUAUCCUUUGUUAGAUUAUCUGUGAAAUAUAGAUAGUACCCUACUUAUCGUUGGGUUAGUGAUAUCUUUCAUUGUCAUUUCCUUCCACAUCUUUUUCUGGUUUCUCUUGUCCCUUUUAACAAUGGAUCCAAUCUUUAAUCUCACAUAGCGUCGUAGGGCACUUGAAAGCUUUCCUUCAACAUUACCAAACCAUCUUAAAUGGCCUUCCUCAUCUCAAAAUGCCUUUGAGAUGUUAUCUGUAGAAUGGUUAUGGUGAAAUCGACUUAUUACUUUUAUCUGCCUAUUAUCCUAUCUAAUUUCAAAUGUGUUAUGCUUUUGAUUUUGAUUGACUUGUUUUACUACGCGUUAUUACCACGUUAUGUAACCAAUAAUGACACAACUGUCACAUAAAACAUCUUCUCCACAUGUAAGGGAUGGGAAGAAGUAAUGAUAAUCAAUUGAAGAAUGAAAUUGUGGAUAGUGCAAUGGGAAAAAUGAGGUUCGGGUAAAGAUUAAUAUCAAUAACAAUCAUUAUCAAACUCUUUCCAUGAGUAAAAUAAUAUUUGGGAGAGAAAAAAAAUCGUUGGAACUACCAUGAUAUAAACAAUGACAUCUCACAACAAGGUUAUGUAACCAAUAAUGACGCGACCAUUACAUAAAACAUCAUCUCCACAUGCAAGGGAUGGGAAGAAGUAAUGAUAAUCAAUUGAAAUGAUUAAUAAGAAUGAAAUUGUGGAUAGUGCAAUGGGAAAAAUGAGGUCCAGGUAAAGUUUAAUAUCAAUAACAAUUAUUAUCAAACUCUUUUCACGAGAAAAAAGAUUAUUUGAGAGAUGGAAAAAAUUGUUGGAACUAUCAUAAUAUAAAGAAUGACAUCUCACAAUAGGGAUUAAGUAUGCGCAUUUGUUUCAACAUUUCAAAGGGUCCUCCAAAAGCUUUUGGGACGAAAUUGUUCCCUGAGCCGCAAGAGGUUCCAUGAUCUAGGCGCUUGCUCGACCUCUUCGAGGCUGCCAAACGAUUCGCUUUCCAGGCCUGCUUCCAAGAUAAUAUAUUUCCAUUCUCCAGUGGCCAUACCCCAUGGUUUUUCGUUUUUUUACCUUCAAAGCUACUUUGAAAAAUGCCCCAACCAAACCUUAUCUGCUCAAAGCAAAUAAUAGGCUUUGCGUCUUAAAGACACUCUCUCGAGAAUCUUCCAAAUGAACCCUAAAAACCCCAUUGCUAUGAGGUCAUUGGCCCAGUAUCUCCGUAUUAGCAGAAUGGCUAUAGUUUUGCUUUGGGAGAAGCUCCUCGAACCGCAUCUUUUGAUUAGCGGAAAAUAAACGCGAGCUGUAAUCAUGAUUUGGGAUCCAAUUAAAUUUAUUGGCUGGACGAAAUUUUAUUUAAUCAAUAAUAGAGGAAAUUAAGGGCGAUAACAAAAUAGAAAUUCAGAAUUCGUUUUAUCGUCUCAUGGGACGAGUUCGAGUUUUUUCUUUCCCUUACUGAAAAGAUCCUGACGAGGCCCAGUCCGAGGUUUCCAGAUGGACGGACCGGAUUCGCCAAAUCACUGGAACGUUCGUCCUAAAGACCGCGGGGGUACGAGAAUGCUCCUCCGUUUCCUAUUUAACACCCGACGCCACCACUUCCAAACCAUAUCGUCUGACGAUAGCAAUUCCUGUCUUAGUCCGAGCAUUCUGUCAAACGUUUCGUCGGCUCAAUCUCAUAUAUUCGCCGGUAAUCCCACAGCCAUGUCGCUCAUCCCAAGCUGGUUCGGCGGCCGCCGCAGCAACGUCUUCGACCCUUUCUCCCUCGACCUCUGGGAACCCUUCAAGGACUUCCCUUUCCCUUCCUCCUCCCUUUCCGCCUCUGAUUUCCCCCAGGCGUUCCGGGAGAACACUGCUUUCGUGAACACGAGGAUCGACUGGAAGGAGACCCCGGAAGCCCACGUGUUCAAGGCGGAUCUCCCCGGGCUCAAGAAGGAGGAGGUCAAGGUGGAGAUCGAGGACGAUCGGGUGCGCCAGAUAAGCGGCGAGAGGAACGUGGAGAAGGAGGACAAGAACGACACGUGGCACCGGGUGGAGAGGAGCAGCGGGAAAUUCAUGAGGAAGUUCAGGUUGCCCGAGAACGCGAGGAUGGAUCAGGUGAAGGCGUCGAUGGAGAACGGGGUGCUCACCGUGACUGUUCCCAAGGUGGAGGAGAAGAAGCCGGAGGUCAAGGCCAUCGAGAUCUCUGGUUGAGAGAUGGUGAAUCUGCGGCUGGCGCGACAACUUGUGUAUACACGUACACAGAGUGAGUGUCUGCGUGUGCUGUCUGCUGUGUGGCUUUCGCAUGUCCUGAGUUGGCCUGAGUUGGGAGUCUCGGUCCUCGUCUUUGAUAUGGCGGUGUAAUAGGUUGGAAAUAUGGCGAUGUGACAUAACUAUAGUAACCUGUUUUAUGUGAUAUCGGUUCCUCAAAAUCUUUCGGUUUUCUCGCCUUUCGCUUCCCCAUUCAGCACCGAAUUACGGCCUUGUCCCAAGGGACUUAAUUUAGUUCUUUUUUGGGAUGGUUAAUUCAUUCUCUUGGAAGAAUUCCUGUGAAGUGCAAGUGUUGUACUCGCAGGUUGUGAUCAUUUGUUUUUUUUUUUUUUUUCAAUUGGGUUUGGGGGUACCUGCAAAUUGCAUCGAGAGAAGCUGACAACUUUCGGGAUGAAACGAGGCUUAGAACCAUGAUUCUCCUUUUGAGCUCAGCGCGAGCUGCAGGGUUUCUUAUGCUGCAUUGUAUUGGGUUUGUCAGAUAACAUGACUAGAUAUCCCAACAAGUUUUUUAUUUCCGCUUGAUCGUCAUCAAAUCAGAGAUAACAAGAUCAGAUAUCCUUUCCUGAUGCUUAGCUCGAUUUCGUCUUUGAAAGCUCCGGGUUUCAUCCUCAUCUCUUCCCCAUCAACCAUGAGUCUCCUCACCGCUUGCUCCAUCUCUCUCUGGUUUAGAUCACCCUCCAACUCCAAUCCCACCAUUCAAACGUGGCACGGGUACCCUGCCUUCACAUUCUGGUCCCUACGGUUGGUGUAUCGUUGGGACUCCUUAGGAAAUAAUUUCCAAGGAACUAGUUCCAUCUGCAAAAGGUCCAAAAGCCUCCCGAGUUACGUGUGCUAAAACUUGCACCUCAUGAGCCCAUCUCGUAACACGGCCAAUUUUUGUUGGCUUUUUUGGACCCUUGCGCUAACAGCUCGAUCCACUCUGAGCCUCUGACUGAGCGAGGUCGGACCAGCCGGAAGAAUGCCACUCUUUGCCAGCCCCCAAGCCGUUUCUGCAAACUCUCCCUGAUCUAUUUUGAAGCCAAGCUUUCCUAAGCUCACAAGUAUAACUGAAUUAUGUGCUUGCUUAUCAAGCCACAAGAGGCAACUGGUUUCUUCCCUCUAUUAUACUGGUUGGCAAAGCCGGAGCAACUUUGUGCAGCGAGCCUGGUGAAAAAAAUGGCGCUCGUUAUUGUCUAUGGAGUUGGUCCGGUAACUGUUUCUCCAGGCAGUCCACUGUUCCAGAAAAUGCCUGAAGAUGCUCUGUUGUUAAUCAGGAUGGCUGCUAACUUCAUCAUGGGUUCUAAAUCGCCUGGUGAUACAAGUCCAUGCAUCUCGUGGGAUAAGCGCCUGGAAUAGUCUCAAUCGAUGUUGGACCUAAAGAGUCAAGGUGCUGCAGCUUAGCAUGUAUUGGUUCUACGACUUCAUAGUCUGAUAGAAAACAUAAAAACUUAUCCAAGAUUUGAAUAUUCCAGCAAGUCAAAAGAGAGAUACAACUUUUAUUCGAAUUUGAUACACUGUAGACUGCUUUCUUCCUUCCUAGUUGGAUUGCUCGACAUGAAUACGAGAGAAUAUGAUAUUAUAUGCAGUUUCAGCACGUGUGGUACUGUUGACUUCAAUUACAUGCCUCCUCUGUCCUCUGACUAAAGGAAGAGGUAAUGACUGGUUUAGACGGUGGGGCAACGGCUAUUGGAGCGUUUUACCUUCUGGAAACUGAGUCGCCCUAAAGACUUGGUAUGCUUACCUUUUCUUUGCAGCAAGAGCAUUUUACGAAAACACAGAGAGCCCCGUUAAAGUACUGCUUAAUGAGUAGUAGACGAUGAAAAUUGCAAGCCAAACUCAAAAUAUGUCUACAUGGACGAAUGAUGCAAGCUGUUGAGCGCAAUUCCUAUUUGAGUCACGCUGAUUAAUUGACUCUCUCUUUAGAUUGGCCAAGCAGUUUCUUUAAAUCUUGAAGAGACCCUCGCAGUGCUUUGGGAUAGCAAACAUAAUCAAGUCAGGAGCCUUUCCAGUUUAGUAGAGUACGACCAAAGAGAGCGCAUUCUUAACAUCCAAUCAGUACUGUGUGAUUGUUACUCUUGAUUUCUAGUGAAAUUCCUAUCGAGCUCCAUCACUGAGGUAAAGAAGGGUUUACUGCAAGUAUCAUUAUCUUAGAGUUUGUUGUGUAUGUUGAUAUCCGAGGGUUAAAGAUACCUUUUCAAGGAAAAUAACUUUUCUUUUGGAGCCAAGGGGGUUCAGAGAAAACCAGCAGAGUGCCCUACUACAAGAGCGCAAAGCAAUGCUAGGAAGUUCUAUAUGAUGAGCUGCCACCUAGCAAAGUACAUCAAUUCAAUCUUUUCCAGUUAAUUUUGGUCAAAUUUUGUUGACUAAAUAUCGAUCGGUUGACGUGAUACGAUCGACGCUGACGUGGAUAAUUUUUAAUAAUAUUUUAAUUUUUUUGGAUUUGAAUUUUACUUAAUUUUUCUUUUUCUUUUUUUUCAUUUUUUUUUCUUCUUCUCCUUCCUCUAGUCAAUCGUCAGACCUUUGGCAAUUGGCCAUCGGCAAGGCUUGAGCCCUCGCCAGAGGCUGUGAGGGCGAUCGACAAUCAGCCAGAGAAGACAGCUGGCGAGGUUGAGGAGGAAGGAGGGGCACAAAGAAAAAAGAAGAAAAAAGAAAAGGAAAAAAGAAAAAGAAAAAGAAAAAGAAAAAAAAGAAAAAAGAAAAGAAAAGAAAAAGGAAAAAAAUAUUAAAAUAUUAAAAUAUUAAAAUAUUAAAAUAUUAAAAUAUUAAAAUAUUAAAAUAUUAAAAUAUUAUUAAAAGUUGUUAACGUCAGCGUCAAUCGUGUCAUAUCCAAUGCUUAGUCAGCAAAAUCCGGCUAAAAUUAAUUGGAAAUUAUCGAAUUAACACAAAAUAAAAAUAUUUAAGACUAAAUUGGUAUUUAUAAAAUAUUUAGAAUUAAAUUAGCAUAAAUAUAAAAUGUUUAGGAUUUCUUGGACACUUUUCCCCCAAUAAACUUGAUUUAUAUUCAUGAUUUAGGAUUCAUUGAAUGUAAUUAGACAAAAUCUUAUUUAAUCAAGAAUAGAGGAAAUUAAGGGCGAUUACAAAAUAGAAAUAGAAAUCGUCAUUGUCGUAAUGUGACGGACCAGGUGUUUCCAGAUGGACCUACGGGAUUCGCCAUUUCACUUGAACGUUCGUCCGUCCGUCCGUUCGAGCGGGACUGGAAAGACCGCGAAGGUACUAGAAUGAUCCUCUCUUUCCUAUUUAACUCCACGACUUGUCUUCUAAGCUCCAUCGUCGAACGGUAGCAAUUCUCAUCAUCUUCCUUAAGCAUUCCAUCGAACACUUUCUCCGCUCGGUCUCGCAUUUUCACCGGUAAACCCAACAACCAUGUCGCUCAUCCCAAGCUGGUUCGGCGGCCGCCGCAGCAACGUCUUCGACCCUUUCUCCCUCGACCUCUGGGACCCCUUCAAGGACUUCCCUUUCCCUUCCUCCUCCCUCUCCGCCUCUAAUUUCCCUCAAACUGUCCGGGAAAAUACUGCUUUUGUGAACACGAGGAUCGACUGGAGGGAGACCCCGGAGGCCCACGUGUUCAAGGCGGAUCUCCCCGGGCUCAAGAAGGAGGAAGUCAAGGUGGAGAUCGAGGACGAUCGGGUGCUCCAGAUAAGCGGCGAGAGGAACGUGGAGAAGGAGGACAAGAACGACACGUGGCACCGGGUGGAGAGGAGCAGCGGGAAAUUCAUGAGGAGGUUCAGGCUGCCGGAGAACGCGAGGAUGGAUCAGGUGAAGGCCUCGAUGGAGAAUGGGGUGCUCACCAUCACUGUUCCCAAGGUGGAGGAGAAGAAGCCUGAGGUCAAGGCCAUCGAGAUCUCCGGUUGAGAGUCGGUGAAUCUAUGGUCCUCGUUACGACUUGUGUCUAUAUAUAGAGCAAGUAUGCUGUGCUAUGUGAGGGUUGGGAGGCUCGGUCCCAUGGUGUCUGAUAUAGCGAUAUGUUGUCCGCCGAUGACUCUUUAGUUGUAAUGAAAUUCGAAGUUACUAUUUUCUAACUUCUGUUUGAGGUGAUAUUGGUUGCUCAAAAGUCUUUUGAUUGUGUUUUGUUCGUGGGACGUUCCUUAUUUUUAUUUACAUACUGCUUCCGGGAGUUCAAUUAGUUUAAUUAUUUUUGGAUGAUUAAUUCAAUUUCUGGGAAGGAUACCUCCAAAGUGCAGGAUGGACUUUGCACAUCGUGAUCGUUUUUUCAGUUGGGUUUGGAGGUACCGGCAAUAUGGAGAAGCUGAUAAGUUUGGGAUGAAAACAAGCUAGAAACCACAUUACUCCUUUGGACUCAGAGCAAGGUUUGGGGUUCCUUCUGCUGCAUUGUAUCAAAUUUGUCAGGUAACAGGAUAAAAUAUUUGAUAUGGCCUUCAAUUUCUGUUCCAUCAUCAUCAGAUCAGAGAAAAAUGAUCAGAUUCACUGGUUCCUAUAUUGAGGCGUGCGAAGUAUCGCCUUUUCCGAUGCUCAUGUUGAUUUGGUCUUUGAAAGCCGCGGCUCUCAGCCUUAUCUCUGUCCCUUCCUUGCCAACCGUCAGCCUCCUCACAGCUUGCUCCAUCUCUUUCUGGUCUAGACCACACUCUAACUCCAAUCCCACCAUCCGAACGUGGCGCGAGUACCUCACCUUAGCAUUCUGGUCCCUGAAGCACGGUGGGCAUAUCAUUGGGACUCCUUUGGAAAUGAUUUCCAAGGUCGAAUUCCAUCUGCAAUGGGUCCAAAAGCUUCCUGUGGCACGGUGUGCUAAAACUUCCUCUAGAGCCCAUCUCGCAACACGGCCAGUUUCUUCGUUGGCUUCUUCGAACCCUUCUGGUAAUAGCUCGAUCCACUCUAAGCCUCUGUCUGAGCCAGGCCGGAUUAGCCACAAGAACGCUGCUGUUUGCCAACCCCCAAGCCAAUUCUGCAAACUUUCCCUAAUUCAUUGAAGCCAAGCUUCCUAAGCUCACAUAAAUAACUUAGGUAAAUUUGUAUGUAGAUUAAAAAAAAGUCUAUUUAUGAUUUUAAGCAAGCUUGUAGAUAAUGGUAUUUAAAGUUUCAUAGUGUUGUCAAAUAUAAAGUAUAUACUGUAUACAUUUUUUCGUACUUUAUGUAGAUGAUAUCUUACUUGCGAGUAAUGACAUUAGAUUAAUGGGACAAAAGUGGAUGUUAUCAAAAAAAUUUAACAUGAAAGAUCUUGGUGAUGCGUUUUUUGUUCUUGGCAUUGAGGUCCAUAUGGAUUGUUAUUGGGUUUGUUUUAGAGGGCAUAUGUUGAUCGUAUUUUAGAAAGAUUCAAUAUGCAUCAUUGCAAUCCGGGGUGAUAAGUUGAGUCUUUCACGAUAUCCUCGUUUAGAUUUUGAGAAAGUUCAAAUGAAUGAUGUACCUUAUGCUAGUAUGCUUGGAAGUAUCAUGUAUACUCAAGUUUACAUUAGACCAGAUUUAUUUUUGCGACAUGACUUCUAGGUAGAUAUUAGUCAAAUCUAGAAUGUGAUCACUGGGUUGUUGUCAAGAAGAUUUUAAGGUAUUUAAAGAGGACAAUAGAUUAUAUGCUGAUUUAUAGACAUGUUCCGAACUUACAACUAAUAGGGUAUUUGGAUGUAGAUUUUGCUGGUUGUUAAGAUGAUAUGAAAUCGACGGUGAAAUAUAUAUUUAUAUUGGCAGGAGGUGCAGAAAUCUAUAUAUUCUUCUACCAUGCAAAUAGAGUUUGUAGCAUGCUUUUCAGCUGCUAUUUAGGCGAUUUGGCUCUAGAAUCUUAUUAGGGAGUUAACUGUUUUUUAUUUUGUGGGUAGAGCUAUAUAGUUAUAAUAAUAAUAGAAGUCUCCAAAAGUCUAAGCAUAUGGAGGUCAAGUUUAUGACCAUAAAUGAAUCAGUACAGAAUAGUGGUGUUACAGUAGAUCAUAUUCCUACAGAUGAUAUGAUUGUAGAUCCAUUAACUAAAGACCUAUGCCCUUAUGUGUUUGAGUGAUAUGUCGUUAGCAUGGGUUUAGGAGUAUUUUGGGAUGUUGUUAUUUAGUGAAAGUUGUUUUUAUUUUUCUUUUAAUAAAGUUUAUAUUUGUGUUUUUUAUAUUUAGUAGCGUUUUGAUAUAUAUUAACAUUUGCAUUCAAUAAAAUAUUUUUAAAUAAAUUGUUAUUAUGUUGAAUAUAUAUUGAUAAAAGUCUUAAAUGUAUUAUAUAAACCUUAAGUGAAUGUUAAGGGCAUCGGGUUAUUAACCUUGAGUAUAUGUUUUAUCACACAUAAAGAAAUAUUAACUGUAAAGGCAAGGCAUAUGUGGGUUUACUAGAACCAUAAAAAUAUUUUCUAAUGGCAUAGAUUUUUGUGAUACUUAAAAUGAGAGAAUGGUGAUUGACAAAUGGGAUCUCUCUAUGAGAGAUGUUAUUCAUUUAUCACACUACCAUAUUAAAUCCAUAUCAAUAAAGUUAAAAGCACUCAUAAGCACUCGUGACCAUGAAAGGUUUUGUGUGUAUACAUGCAGCUCCUACCAUGAUUUGGUGUUUGAGACUUUAUAUGAUGUAAUUGACUAUUAAGAAUUAUCUCUUAAAUUAAUGCGCGCACAUACAAUACAAUUUCAAUUAAUAUAACUCAAGUGGAAGAGUAUAAAAGUUUUUCUAAUGUGGGUUACAUUAAUUAAUAUUGUAAUUUACCAUUUUUUGGGAUUGGUCUAAAGUGAGAUAGAAAGAUUUUUAAUUAAUUUAUAUGGGGCUAGUUAGUGUGGGUUAAGUUGAACUUGACUCGUAAUAAGAUGGCCUAGUUGGAACACUAUAGAUAGUCGUCAAGUCUCUCCUCUAACUCUAAUUUUCAUAAUUAUCCUCACAAAUGAGCAUUUACCUAACGCAAAAGGGUGAGGGGGUUGUCUCAUUGAGCCAAUGAUAUAGAGGGCAAAGAGGAGAAUGACUUGUGCUUGAAUCAUCGCUUUUUUGCUUUCGCAUCAAGAACGAUGAAUUCCAAAACAAGUGUAUUAAUUUUUUUACUUGAUUAUAUGUGUUUUUGUUCUAGUUAUGGAGAUAAUGAGUUACGUGUUUUAGCAUCUAACAUCCCUCUCUGAAGUCUAGAUCUAAAUUUGGGUUGCCCGUCUAAUGCUCCAUCGAGGGUUGCUAGGGGCGGUUGAGGAUCUAGAAGAGCACAUCUAGGUCAUUGGGGUCUAGGUUGGCAUGGGUCUAGGUUGCUAGUCUAAUGCUCCACUGAAUGUUGCGCAAGGUUUGUUGAUGAUGGCUAAGGUUGUCUGAUGGUUUGGGUUUGCUUGUUUGGGUCGAUGAUUGUGUGUUUAGGUCGCCUAUUUGUAUGCUCUAACGAGGGUCAUCAAGGGAGGCCGAGGGUCUCCAAGGAUUUGGGUUGACGAUCGCGUAGUUUAGGUUGUCGAGGUCAUGCGACCCUCAGGGUCUCCUAGCUUAGGCUACCCGAGGUUGCUUCACCUCGGUGUCACCUUGCAUGACCACUUCGACGAUUCAAUUGUUGCUGACAUUCAAUUUGCUUCCCAAGUUUGCUCCCAAGAUGAGAUAUCUCUACUCUCCAGUAGUUAUAUAGUUUAUUUUUUUUCGUUCUUUUUUCUACCUUCGAAGUUACAUUGCAAAAAUAUCAUGAAAGUCAUUUAACCAAACAAUAUUUACUUUGAGUCAAAGAUUCAUGGGGCAAUGACUUUGCAUUCUCUCAAAACUCUCCCAAACACGCAUUUUGAGUUACAGUGAUUGGUUUCAAGUUGGGUAGAUUUUAGACCUCAAAUCUGAAAUCUAAUCUAUUAGAACCGAUUCCAAGUUUUUGGAACCUAAAACCUAUUUUGUAUGUCUUGGAACCUGUCAUUCUUUUGUUCUUUUUUUUUUAGGUUCACUUUUUAUAGCAAAAAAAUAUAAGUAAUAAAAUGGUUCAAAGUAAAAGAUGACUAAGGGUGAAGGAGCAAAGGUGAGUUAGGAACGAGCGAGUGUGAGCCGUGAGUGAGCGAGGAGGAGGGUGAGUCGCCAGCAAGCGAGAGAGAAUUGCGAAAUGUUUGAGUAAGGUUGAAGAGAACAGAGAAAAAAGAGAUAGAAAAAUAUGUUAAGAGAAAAAUUGGGGUUUCUAAACUUUAUGAAACUUGUACCAAAUUUGAUUCAAUGACAUAUGGUUCUUCUUAACUGACCAAAAAAAGAAAAAAAGAAAAAAAAAAGACAUAUGGUUCUUCAGUUGAAAUUGCAAACAAGAUUGGUUCGAACGACUGAUGAUCCGGUUCUCGAAUAGAACUGGCCCGACAACAGAGCUCUACUAACAAACCCUAGUUUCAUAAAAAUCCUAGUAUCGUAAUGUCAUUUGCCCAGUAUUUACCUAGUAUGAGAUGAUUAUAUUUUUUUAGCAAGAGGAAUUCCUUUAAUCGCAUCUUUUGAUUAGUGGCAAAUAAACUUGAUUUAUAUUCAUGAUUUAGGAUCCAUCGAAUUUAAUUGGACAAAAUCUUAUUUAAUCAAGAAUAGAGGAAAUUAAGGGCGGUCGCAAAAUAGAAAUAGAAUUCGUCAUCAUCGUAAUGUGACGGACCAAGUGUUUCCAGAUAGACCUCCGGGGUUCGCCAUUUCGCUCGAACGUUCGUCCACCGACACUCAGAAAGACCGCGAAGGUACGAGAAUGAUCCUCUCUUUCCUAUUUAACUCCCAACUUGUCUUCCAGGCUCCAUCGUCAAACGGUAGCAAUUCUCAUCGUCUAUCUCAAGCAUUCUAUCGAACACUUUCUCCGCUCAGUCUCGCAUUUUCACCAGUAAACCCAACAACCAUGUCGCUCAUCCCAAGCUGGUUCGGCGGCCGCCGCAGCAAUGUCUUCGACCCUUUCUCCCUCGACCUCUGGGACCCCUUCAAGGAUUUCCCUUUCCCUUCCUCCUCCCUCUCCGCCUCUAAUUUCCCUCAAACCAUCCGAGAAAAUACUGCUUUUGUGAACACGAGGAUCGACUGGAGGGAGACCCCGGAGGCCCACGUGUUUAAGGCGGAUCUCCCAGGGCUCAAGAAGGAGGAAGUCAAGGUGGAGAUCGAGGACGAUCGGGUGCUCCAGAUAAGCGGCGAGAGGAACGUGGAGAAGGAGGACAAGAACGACACCUGGCACCGGGUGGAGAGGAGCAGCGGGAAGUUCAUGAGGAGGUUCAGGGUGCCGGAGAACGCGAGGAUGGAUCAGGUGAAGGCCUCGAUGGAGAAUGGG
RNAcentral lists this long non-coding RNA (16467 nucleotides) under Eucalyptus grandis. RNAcentral describes it as "long non-coding RNA (EGRA_LNC006028)". The record is from RNAcentral. Lineage: Eukaryota; Viridiplantae; Streptophyta; Magnoliopsida; Myrtales; Myrtaceae.